RNAcentral lists this ribosomal RNA (331 nucleotides) under uncultured eukaryote. RNAcentral's name for it is "partial 18S ribosomal RNA". It matches the Rfam family "Eukaryotic small subunit ribosomal RNA", at positions 1470 to 1796 of the family's 1831-position model. The record is from RNAcentral.
CCCUUAGAUGUUCUGGGCCGCACGCGCGCUACACUGACGAAGUCAGCGAGCAUGUCCUACGCCGACAGGUGCGGGGAAUCUUGUCAAACUUCGUCGUGAUGGGGAUUGAUUUUUGAAAUUCUUGAUCAUAAACGAGGAAUUCCUAGUAAGCGCAAGUCAGCAGCUUGCGUUGAUUACGUCCCUGCCCUUUGUACACACCGCCCGUCGCUACUACCGAUUGAAUGGUUUAGUGAGAUCUUCGGAUUGGCGCCACUGCAGCUCAGCAAUGGGCUUGGUGGAUGCCGAAAAGUUGAUCAAACUUGUUCAUUUAGAGGAAGUAAAAGUCGUAACA